RNAcentral lists this ribosomal RNA (360 nucleotides) under uncultured Pseudomonas sp. RNAcentral describes it as "bacterial SSU rRNA". It matches the Rfam family "Bacterial small subunit ribosomal RNA", at positions 1022 to 1382 of the family's 1533-position model. The record is from RNAcentral. Lineage: Bacteria; Pseudomonadati; Pseudomonadota; Gammaproteobacteria; Pseudomonadales; Pseudomonadaceae.
AAGAAUCUGGAGACAGGUGCUGCAUGGCUGUCGUCAGCUCGUGUCGUGAGAUGUUGGGUUAAGUCCCGCAACGAGCGCAACCCUUGCCUUUAGUUGCCAGCAGUUCGGCUGGGCACUCUAAAGGGACUGCCGGUGUUAAACCGGAGGAAGGUGGGGAUGACGUCAAGUCCUCAUGGCCCUUACGGCCUGGGCUACACACGUGCUACAAUGGUCGGUACAAAGGGUUGCCAAGCCGCGAGGUGGAGCUAAUCCCAUAAAACCGAUCGUAGUCCGGAUCGCAGUCUGCAACUCGACUGCGUGAAGUCGGAAUCGCUAGUAAUCGUGAAUCAGAAUGUCACGGUGAAUACGUUCCCGGGCCUU